GGGGAAGAUGGUCAUUUGGCAGUGAUGAUGUGGCCCCGAUUGCAGAAUUGAGUUGGAGGCUGAAGCAUGUGAGCUCUGAUCCUUGCCAGUUCCGGGACAUUUGGAAAUGUCUGGAGAUAUUUUUGUUGGCACAACUGGGAGGAGACUGCUACUGGCAUCUAGUACAUUAGAGACCAAGGAUUCUACUGAACAUUCUAAAAUGCACAGGUUUCAAAGUAAGCCUAGCACAGAGAAGGAACUCAUCUCAGAUUUUGGCCUUCGCAUUUACUCACCACUCACUGACUCAGUCAGAGCAACUUCCAGUCCUGCAAGCUCCAUUUAUGGUAAGU
This is a long non-coding RNA of Pan troglodytes (chimpanzee), 329 nucleotides long. RefSeq lists it as uncharacterized. The transcript is spliced from 4 exons. Lineage: Eukaryota; Metazoa; Chordata; Mammalia; Primates; Hominidae. The record is from RefSeq and is a predicted model, not a curated record.